This 171-nucleotide ribosomal RNA is filed under the name uncultured Bacillus sp. RNAcentral describes it as "partial 16S ribosomal RNA". It matches the Rfam family "Bacterial small subunit ribosomal RNA", at positions 338 to 500 of the family's 1533-position model. The record is from RNAcentral. Lineage: Bacteria; Bacillati; Bacillota; Bacilli; Caryophanales; Bacillaceae.
CCUACGGGAGGCAGCAGUAGGGAAUCUUCCGCAAUGGACGAAAGUCUGACGGAGCAACGCCGCGUGAGUGAUGAAGGCUUUCGGGUCGUAAAACUCUGUUGUUAGGGAAGAACAAGUGCUAGUUGAAUAAGCUGGCACCUUGACGGUACCUAACCAGAAAGCCACGGCUAA